GGCCCCUCUGGCCAAAAUAAUCAGAUAUGCAUAAAUAUCUUUCUGUAUUCACAUUUGUAUCUUGAACAUUUGAUCAAAUCACAUUACUGCAUAUAAUCCACAAUCAGGGGUUUAGUUUCACAGCCUCCAAACUCCAGCUGCAGUUUUUAUAACUAAACCAGGACAUGGACUCAGGUGACUCUCUACACCUAUUUAAGUAUGUUGAUAUUGUGCAUUCAUGUGCUUCAAAUCACCUUUUAGAGGAAAAGUCACACUCAUGCAAAAAGCAUACAGGUGCUUUUAUAUACCUGUGUGCUUGAGACCAGGUGUUGCAUCUGCACAGGGUGCCAGACAGAACAGAGCACAGGUAGGCUGAGCAGGUAAUGAUCUCCUCAGAUGUAGUGCACGCAACGGCUUAAAAACCACCCCGUAAAUGUCAGUUGAGAGGCUAACCACGCUAGGUGUAGUUUUUUAUGCAACACACUGAUCUGCUGUCUGUCUCAUGGACAUUUUAUUUACUAUACUUUUUCCAUGUGUGCGUAGGGUUGUGUGGGUGUUUGUUUUCUUUUUGUGUUUACUUGUGCAUUUGUGUGUGAUUGUAGGCAUUGGUCUGACAGAGUCCCUGGCCAUGACACCUGCCGCCUCUGUGUCGGGACUUUACUUCUCCAACCCUCAGGCUUCAUACUUUGCUGUUGGAAAGAUCACCAAGGAGCAGGUGGAGGACUAUGCCAGCAGGAAAGAGAUGAAUGUGGAGGAGGUGGAGAGAUGGCUCGCUCCCAUCCUGGGUUAUGACAAUGAAGUGUAAGCUGCAACAGAGGAUCCAGUUUACAGUCCAACCAUUCCACUUUGGCUCCCAUGAGUUGUUGCUGUAACUGCUGUCACUCCCUCUCACUGACAUCCCUGUACAAAGACAGGGCCUCAGACUUUUCUAUUACAAUAAACACUACAGGAAAACA
Pundamilia nyererei is the source of this 935-nucleotide long non-coding RNA. RefSeq lists it as uncharacterized. Lineage: Eukaryota; Metazoa; Chordata; Actinopteri; Cichliformes; Cichlidae. The record is from RefSeq and is a predicted model, not a curated record. The transcript has 2 exons.